UUACCCCGCUGGAAAUUAAGCAUAUCAAUAAGCGGAGGAAAAGAAACCAACAGGGAUUACCUCAGUAACGGCGAGUGAAGCGGUAACAGCUCAAAUUUGAAAUCUGGCUCUUUCAGGGUCCGAGUUGUAAUUUGUAGAAGAUGCUUCGGGUGUGGCUCCGGUCUAAGUUCCUUGGAACAGGACGUCAUAGAGGGUGAGAAUCCCGUAUGUGACUGGCUGCCUCCGCCCAUGUGAAGCUCUUUCGACGAGUCGAGUUGUUUGGGAAUGCAGCUCAAAAUGGGUGGUAAAUUUCAUCUAAAGCUAAAUAUUGGCCAGAGACCGAUAGCGCACAAGUAGAGUGAUCGAAAGAUGAAAAGCACUUUGGAAAGAGAGUUAAACAGUACGUGAAAUUGUUGAAAGGGAAGCGCUUGCAAUCAGACUUGCACGCUGCCGAUCAUCCGGGGUUCUCCCCGGUGCACUCGGCUGCGUUCAGGCCAGCAUCGGUUUGGGUGGUUGGAUAAAGGCCUUGGGAAUGUAGCUUCUUUCGGGGAGUGUUAUAGCCCUCGGUGCAAUGCAGCCUACCCGGACCGAGGACCGCGCUUCGGCUAGGAUGCUGGCGUAAUGGUUGUAAGCGACCCGUCUUGAAACACGGACCAAGGAGUCUAACAUCUAUGCGAGUAUUUGGGUGUCAAACCCAUAUGCGUAAUGAAAGUGAACGGAGGUGAGAACCCUUAAGGGUGCAUCAUCGACCGGUCCUGAUGUCUUCGGAUGGAUCUGAGUAAGAGCAUAGCUGUUGGGACCCGAAAGAUGGUGAACUAUGCCUGAAUAGGGUGAAGCCAGAGGAAACUCUGGUGGAGGCUCGCAGCGGUUCUGACGUGCAAAUCGAUCGUCAAAUUUGGGUAUAGGGGCGAAAGACUAAUCGAACCAUCUAGUAGCUGGUUCCUGCCGAAGUUUCCCCUCAAGAUAA
This 946-nucleotide ribosomal RNA is filed under the name Nagrajchalara sp. 1 YD-2022. RNAcentral's name for it is "partial large subunit ribosomal RNA". It matches the Rfam family "Eukaryotic large subunit ribosomal RNA", at positions 24 to 981 of the family's 3401-position model. The record is from RNAcentral. Lineage: Eukaryota; Fungi; Ascomycota; Leotiomycetes; Helotiales.